This 2900-nucleotide ribosomal RNA is filed under the name Klebsiella pneumoniae. RNAcentral's name for it is "bacterial LSU rRNA". It matches the Rfam family "Bacterial large subunit ribosomal RNA". The record is from RNAcentral. Lineage: Bacteria; Pseudomonadati; Pseudomonadota; Gammaproteobacteria; Enterobacterales; Enterobacteriaceae.
UUAAGCGACUAAGCGUACACGGUGGAUGCCCUGGCAGUCAGAGGCGAUGAAGGACGUGCUAAUCUGCGAAAAGCGUCGGUAAGGUGAUAUGAACCGUUACAGCCGGCGAUGUCCGAAUGGGGAAACCCAGUGUGAUUCGUCACACUAUCGUUAACUGAAUACAUAGGUUAACGAGGCGAACCGGGGGAACUGAAACAUCUAAGUACCCCGAGGAAAAGAAAUCAACCGAGAUUCCCCCAGUAGCGGCGAGCGAACGGGGAGCAGCCCAGAGUCUGAAUCAGCUUGUGUGUUAGUGGAACGGUCUGGAAAGUCCGACGGUACAGGGUGAUAGUCCCGUACACCAAAAUGCACAGGUUGUGAACUCGAAGAGUAGGGCGGGACACGUGGUAUCCUGUCUGAAUAUGGGGGGACCAUCCUCCAAGGCUAAAUACUCCUGACUGACCGAUAGUGAACCAGUACCGUGAGGGAAAGGCGAAAAGAACCCCGGCGAGGGGAGUGAAAAAGAACCUGAAACCGUGUACGUACAAGCAGUGGGAGCACCUUCGGGUGUGACUGCGUACCUUUUGUAUAAUGGGUCAGCGACUUAUAUUCUGUAGCAAGGUUAACCGUAUAGGGGAGCCGCAGGGAAACCGAGUCUUAACUGGGCGUUAAGUUGCAGGGUAUAGACCCGAAACCCGGUGAUCUAGCCAUGGGCAGGUUGAAGGUUGGGUAACACUAACUGGAGGACCGAACCGACUAAUGUUGAAAAAUUAGCGGAUGACUUGUGGCUGGGGGUGAAAGGCCAAUCAAACCGGGAGAUAGCUGGUUCUCCCCGAAAGCUAUUUAGGUAGCGCCUCGUGAAUUCAUCUUCGGGGGUAGAGCACUGUUUCGGCUAGGGGGUCAUCCCGACUUACCAACCCGAUGCAAACUACGAAUACCGAAGAAUGUUAUCACGGGAGACACACGGCGGGUGCUAACGUCCGUCGUGAAGAGGGAAACAACCCAGACCGCCAGCUAAGGUCCCAAAGUCAUGGUUAAGUGGGAAACGAUGUGGGAAGGCACAGACAGCCAGGAUGUUGGCUUAGAAGCAGCCAUCAUUUAAAGAAAGCGUAAUAGCUCACUGGUCGAGUCGGCCUGCGCGGAAGAUGUAACGGGGCUAAACCAUGCACCGAAGCUGCGGCAGCGACACUAUGUGUUGUUGGGUAGGGGAGCGUUCUGUAAGCCUGCGAAGGUGACCUGUGAGGGUUGCUGGAGGUAUCAGAAGUGCGAAUGCUGACAUAAGUAACGAUAAAGCGGGUGAAAAGCCCGCUCGCCGGAAGACCAAGGGUUCCUGUCCAACGUUAAUCGGGGCAGGGUGAGUCGACCCCUAAGGCGAGGCCGAAAGGCGUAGUCGAUGGGAAACAGGUUAAUAUUCCUGUACUUGGUGUUACUGCGAAGGGGGGACGGAGAAGGCUAUGUUAGCCGGGCGACGGUUGUCCCGGUUUAAGCAUGUAGGCUGGUUAUCCAGGCAAAUCCGGAUAAUCAAGGCUGAGGUGUGAUGACGAGGCACUACGGUGCUGAAGUAACAAAUGCCCUGCUUCCAGGAAAAGCCUCUAAGCAUCAGGUAACAUCAAAUCGUACCCCAAACCGACACAGGUGGUCAGGUAGAGAAUACCAAGGCGCUUGAGAGAACUCGGGUGAAGGAACUAGGCAAAAUGGUGCCGUAACUUCGGGAGAAGGCACGCUGGUGUGUAGGUGAAGCCCCUGCGGGUGGAGCUGAGACCAGUCGAAGAUACCAGCUGGCUGCAACUGUUUAUUAAAAACACAGCACUGUGCAAACACGAAAGUGGACGUAUACGGUGUGACGCCUGCCCGGUGCCGGAAGGUUAAUUGAUGGGGUUAUCCGUAAGGAGAAGCUCUUGAUCGAAGCCCCGGUAAACGGCGGCCGUAACUAUAACGGUCCUAAGGUAGCGAAAUUCCUUGUCGGGUAAGUUCCGACCUGCACGAAUGGCGUAAUGAUGGCCAGGCUGUCUCCACCCGAGACUCAGUGAAAUUGAACUCGCUGUGAAGAUGCAGUGUACCCGCGGCAAGACGGAAAGACCCCGUGAACCUUUACUAUAGCUUGACACUGAACAUUGAGCCUUGAUGUGUAGGAUAGGUGGGAGGCUUUGAAGCGUGGACGCCAGUCUGCGUGGAGCCAACCUUGAAAUACCACCCUUUAAUGUUUGAUGUUCUAACGUUGGCCCCUUAUCGGGGUUGCGGACAGUGUCUGGUGGGUAGUUUGACUGGGGCGGUCUCCUCCCAAAGCGUAACGGAGGAGCACGAAGGUUAGCUAAUCCUGGUCGGACAUCAGGAGGUUAGUGCAAUGGCAUAAGCUAGCUUGACUGCGAGCGUGACGGCGCGAGCAGGUGCGAAAGCAGGUCAUAGUGAUCCGGUGGUUCUGAAUGGAAGGGCCAUCGCUCAACGGAUAAAAGGUACUCCGGGGAUAACAGGCUGAUACCGCCCAAGAGUUCAUAUCGACGGCGGUGUUUGGCACCUCGAUGUCGGCUCAUCACAUCCUGGGGCUGAAGUAGGUCCCAAGGGUAUGGCUGUUCGCCAUUUAAAGUGGUACGCGAGCUGGGUUUAGAACGUCGUGAGACAGUUCGGUCCCUAUCUGCCGUGGGCGCUGGAGAAUUGAGGGGGGCUGCUCCUAGUACGAGAGGACCGGAGUGGACGCAUCACUGGUGUUCGGGUUGUCAUGCCAAUGGCACUGCCCGGUAGCUAAAUGCGGAAGAGAUAAGUGCUGAAAGCAUCUAAGCACGAAACUUGCCCCGAGAUGAGUUCUCCCUGAGACUUUAAGUCUCCUGAAGGAACGUUGAAGACGACGACGUUGAUAGGCCGGGUGUGUAAGCGCAGCGAUGCGUUGAGCUAACCGGUACUAAUGAACCGUGAGGCUUAACCUU